This 3429-nucleotide unclassified non-coding RNA is filed under the name Monomorium pharaonis (pharaoh ant). RNAcentral describes it as "echinoderm microtubule-associated protein-like 2, transcript variant X5". The record is from RNAcentral. Lineage: Eukaryota; Metazoa; Arthropoda; Insecta; Hymenoptera; Formicidae.
GUUGGGGCGGCCGCACGGAAAACACACGUGUUACACGAGCAGCGGCACUAUGGAGUCGUACUUGGCGUCCCUCGCGAGGGACGAACGAAAUCGUUGAAAUCGAGUGGACCACACCAGUGUCGUGCGAAUAUCACGGAUGACUUCCGACUUUCGUUUCUCCGAAAUGUAGUAGCGUCCGGAAGCAGCGCUUCCGUCGGUCGCGAGAUGCGUCGCGGAAAUUCCCGCCCUCAGAAGGUUCGAUGAAUUUUGCUCGGCCUGAUCAAUCGCUUUUACACUUGUGCGGAAAUAGAAAUCUUGCUUGGCCGAACUAGUCACGCUCGUUUUACCCCCUUCACGCUCUUUUCCGAAGAUGUGCAAAAGGUUUUUACGGAAUCAAUCAGGGUUGAGUCCGUGGCAUUUGCUGCGAAAAUGGCUUUGGUGUCAAUGACAAGCAUUAAGUUGUUUCUUAAGAUCGUUGGAGAUCUGUGUAUCUUGGUUGGAUAUAUAUGUGCUCUGGUUGUUCUGCUCAUAUUUAUUAUGAGGAUGUGCUUAAUGGUUACAUUCACCGCAUUAGAUAUUUUUUUAUAAGUUUGUAAUAUUUUUGUGUAAAUCCUGUGAUCGGUGUUUGAAAAGUUAUUGGUGAGCGAAGUGAUGUGUUGUAGCAGACAUGGAGAAUUUUAUCAAUACCCGUUGCUGUCAUUACAUACAAAACGACGAUAUAUGCAGUCAGUCACUUUAGCCGGGUGAACGAGCUGACUUGUCAAACGAAAAAGAAAUUAGGGAAAUGCUUUAACAAUAAGCGAACUGUGAAUGCUAUUGUCAUUUCAAGAAAGAAUUGUUACGACUACGGCAUAAGAUAUGCUGGCAGAAAGUGCGUUGGCUCUGUUUGCGCUCGUUAAUCAGUUCAAUUGAAUAACAUAUUAAUAAAUGCUGCGGGGUCAUCGCGACAGUUAAUCGCAAUGUCCACGCCGGACACGAUGGAUACCAUCGACGAAGCGGAACAAGCGUGGCAUGAGAUGCUGGAGUGUGAGACCGGAUCCCUUUUAGGCAGAGUGGCGGACCUCGAAAGGCAAUCCUUGGCGCAAAGGGACGAGAUAGUUUGUCUUCGCGCCACUCUAGCGGACGCGUUAAGGCGAAUCGCCCAACUCGAGGCAAGAGAAAAACGGGAGGAUGACAGGAACGAGAGGAGAAACGACAGGAUGGUAUCCUCACCCUUAAGGAACGGUCAUGUACCUCUCAGAAGUAGUCAAAAUUCGGUGUCACAGAAGGACUUGAGGCUGCGUCAGACCGGUGGCCUCAGAAAUUCCUCCUCUUCGGGAUCGUCGCAGGAUGUCCGCGAUGCGACAUCCAGUCCGAGACGGCCUGCCAGCUACGUGCAUCCCUCCCAACUUCCUCAAAGGAGAUCCGUCCACUAUCAGUCAACGGGUUCUUUACAUUCCGAUAGUCCGAGUAGUAGUAGUGUUUCUCCGGUGCCAUCGCCAAGCCCUAGAGCUACGCCACUGCCUGUAGCCAGAUCGCCCACGGCAAGAUCAAACGGACCGCCGCAAAGUAGCCUAAGAAGAGCGAAGAGAUGGUCGUCCACCGGCGAUUUUACACAUUCCCCGCAAAACCAGGGAAGCAAUUCCCAGCUCGUCGGUACCAGAUUGUCUGCGUCCACCAAGUCCCUGUUCAACCUGUUCAAGCCACCGGCGAUGAACAACGUCAAGCACGGCACCAGAGACAUGCAGUACAACGAGGAGGAAGGGACCGUCCGCAUGUAUUUGCGCGGUCGACCGGUCGUUCUUUACGUUCCUACAUCCAUGAUGGAAUCCUACGACCUUCACAAAGUUAGUACGCCGCCACAAAGCAAAUUGAAGCUCGAUUGGGUCUACGGUUAUCGCGGGCGCGAUUGCCGUAGCAAUUUACACCUGCUGCCGACCGGCGAGAUUGUAUAUUUCGUCGCGGCAGUCGUUGUUCUGUACAAUAUGGAGGAGCACAGCCAGAGACAUUAUCUAGGUCAUACGGAUGAUGUCAAGUGCAUAGCAAUACAUCCUAACAAAUUGGUCGUCGCAACAGGACAGGUGUGCGGGACGGAUCGUCGGGAUGCUAUGCCACAUAUAAGAAUAUGGAACUCCGUAAGCCUGACGACUCUCAGUGUGAUCGGCAAUGGCGAAUUCGACGGAUCGAUUUGCUGCCUGUCAUUCUCCAAGGCCGACGGCGGAAAUUAUUUGUGUGCCAUCGACGAGACUUCCGAUCAUAAUAUAUCGAUCUGGGACUGGCAGAAGAGCGAUCGUGGUACUAAAGUGACUGAAACAAAGUGCUCUGUCGACACGGUGGUUUGCGCCGAGUGGCAUCCGCUGGAACGUAACCAGAUCGUCUCUUGCGGAAAAGGACAUGUAUCCUUUUGGUCCCUGGACAACGGCGGCAUGCUGUAUAAACGUAUGGGCAUCUUCGAGAGCAGAGAUAAGCCCAGGUAUGUUACCUGCGUUGCCUUCAAUCAAAAUGGCGACGUUCUCACCGGUGACAGCAACGGCAACAUCAUCGUUUGGGCUCGAGGUACUAACACAAUUUCAAGGCUAGUGAGAAAUCUCCAUGAAGGAUCGAUUUUCUCCAUAUGUGUUCUGAAAAAUGGUAACAUUAUCACAGGAGGUGGAAAGGACGGCAAAAUUUUGUAUUUUGACGCUUCUUUGAAUCCGACGGGAGAAGAUGCCCAGAUCGAGGAUCAUUUCGGCGGAAUUCGAACGCUCUCAGAGGGAAGAGGCACUCAAUUAUUAAUUGGCACAACGAGGAACUGCAUUCUCGUUGGCGAAAAUGAUAUGGGUUUCAAUCCUGCAAUGCUAGGCCACGCUGAAGAAGUUUGGGGACUUGCGGCCCAUCCGACUUUACCUCAAUUCGCCACCGCGGGACAUGAUAGAUUGUUGCAGAUGUGGGACAGUUUAAGUCAUACCGUGGUGUGGAGCAAAGAUAUCGGGGAGCAAGCACAAAGUAUUGCCUUUUCACCGGAUGGUAAUAUCAUAGUUGUCGGCUGUGUGUCCGGGAAAUGGUUGGCAAUUGAUAGCGAAACGCGAGAAUUGUAUACACAUCAUAGCGAUGGUUCCGAACCUAUUCAGGUUGUUCAAUUUUCACCUGAUGGUUCCUUGCUUGCACUUGGCUCCAGAGAUAAUUACAUUUAUAUUUAUCAAGUGAAUGACGAUGCAACCAAGUAUAGUCGAGUUGGGCGAUGCAUGCCAAAGCGGAUUCGAAGGGACAUUCCAGUUUUAUAAAUCAUCUCGAUUGGUCUGUAGAUGGUCAAUACUUGCGCAGUAACAGCGGAGACUAUGAAUUGCUUUAUUGGAAUCCUGGUGUUUGCCGUCAAAUUCCUCAGUCUUCAAUGUUAAGGAAUGUUGAUUGGGCAACUCAUUCCUGCGUGAUAUCCUUCGAGACAAUAGGCAUUUGGCCGGAGGGCGCCGAUGGAACUGACGUGAAUAAUUG